Molecule: ribosomal RNA, 274 nt
Filed under: uncultured bacterium
Lineage: Bacteria
Description: partial 16S ribosomal RNA
Rfam family: Bacterial small subunit ribosomal RNA
Source: RNAcentral
AUACGGAGGGGGCUAGCGUUGUUCGGAAUUACUGGGCGUAAAGCGCGCGUAGGCGGAUCGUUAAGUCAGGGGUGAAAGCCCGGAGCUCAACUCCGGAACUGCCCUUGAUACUGGCGAUCUCGAGUCAGGGAGAGGUGAGCGGAAUUCCUAGUGUAGAGGUGAAAUUCGUAGAUAUUAGGAGGAACACCAGUGGCGAAGGCGGCUCACUGGCCCGGUACUGACGCUGAGGUGCGAAAGCGUGGGGAGCAAACAGGAUUAGAUACCCUAGUAGUCC